CGGGUAUUGACCCCUGCUGUGCCGAAGUUAACGCAUUAAGUUCUCCGCCUGGGGAGUACGGCCGCAAGGCUAAAACUCAAAGGAAUUGACGGGGACCCGCACAAGCGGUGGAGCAUGUGGUUUAAUUCGACGCAACGCGAAGAACCUUACCUGGAUUUGACAUCCUCUGACCUCCAUGGAAACAUGGCUUUUUAUGCUUGCAUAAACAGAGUGACAGGUGCUGCAUGGCUGUCGUCAGCUCGUGUCGUGAGAUGUUGGGUUAAGUCCCGCAACGAGCGCAACCCUUGUUUUUAGUUGCUAUUAUUAAGUUAAGCACUCUAGAAAUACUGCCUCGGUUAACGGGGAGGAAGGUGGGGAUGACGUCAAGUCCUCAUGGCCUUUAUAUCCAGGGCUACACACGUGCUACAAUGGGCUGUACAAAGAGUUGCCACUUCGCGAGAAGGAGCUAAUCUCAAAAAGCAGUUCUCAGUUCGGAUUGGAGUCUGCAACCCGACUCCAUGAAGUUGGAAUCGCUAGUAAUCGUGGAUCAGCAUGCCACGGUGAAUACGUUCCCGGGUCUUGUACACACCGCCCGUCACACCACGAAAGUCGGCUGUACCAGAAGUUGCUGGGCUAACCCUUCGGGGAUGCAGGUACCUAAGGUACGGUCGGUAAUUGGAGUGAAGUCGUAACAAGGUAGCCG
RNAcentral lists this ribosomal RNA (682 nucleotides) under uncultured bacterium. RNAcentral describes it as "bacterial SSU rRNA". It matches the Rfam family "Bacterial small subunit ribosomal RNA", at positions 826 to 1502 of the family's 1533-position model. The record is from RNAcentral.